UGACUAGAUAAAGGUAUUUGCAACUACUGCAUACACAAAAGUUUGUACACAAAAUUAAGUCCUCGGGCCUUGUUCCCUCACAAUCUCAAGUUACUUUCGCUUUAACUUUUUGGAGGCCUUAUGGCUUUCAAUUUUCUUCUGUGCAGCUUCAAAUUNNNNCUUCAAAUUCUUCUUCCGUAGGUUCAGGACCUGCAUUACCGCCAUAUUUGGACACCAGAGAUGAGAACAUGGAAUCAAAUUGGUCUUUUCUCUCACUUCGCCGCUGAGAUAUAAUAGC
Molecule: unclassified non-coding RNA, 277 nt
Filed under: Hevea brasiliensis (rubber tree)
Lineage: Eukaryota; Viridiplantae; Streptophyta; Magnoliopsida; Malpighiales; Euphorbiaceae
Source: RNAcentral